GACGAACGCUGGCGGCGUGCUUAACACAUGCAAGUCGAACGGAAAGGCCCUGCUUGCAGGGUACUCGAGUGGCGAACGGGUGAGUAACACGUGGGUGAUCUGCCCUGCACUUCGGGAUAAGCCUGGGAAACUGGGUCUAAUACCGGAUAGGAGCCAUUUUUAGUGUGAUGGUUGGAAAGUUUUUUCGGUGUAGGAUGAGCUCGCGGCCUAUCAGCUUGUUGGUGGGGUAAUGGCCUACCAAGGCGGCGACGGGUAGCCGGCCUGAGAGGGUGGACGGCCACAUUGGGACUGAGAGACGGCCCAGACGCCUACGGGAGGCAGCAGGGGGGAAUAUUGCACAAGGGGCGCAAGCCGGAUGGAGCGACGCCGCGGGGGGGAGGACGGCCUUCGGGUUGUAAACGCCUUUCGCUAGGGACGAAGCUUUUUGUGACGGUACCUAGAUAAGAAGCACCGGCUAACUACGUG
This 465-nucleotide ribosomal RNA is filed under the name uncultured bacterium. RNAcentral's name for it is "partial 16S ribosomal RNA". It matches the Rfam family "Bacterial small subunit ribosomal RNA", at positions 28 to 507 of the family's 1533-position model. The record is from RNAcentral.